GUUUAUUUGAAGUUAUAUAUAAUUUGGCCUGCCCCCUGAUUAUUAGUUAAAGGGCCGCAGUAUUAUAACUGUGCAAAGGUAGCAUAAUCAUUAGGUUUUUAAUUGAAAUCUCGUAUGAAUGGUCGGACAAAAGAAAAGCUCUCUUUAUAUUAAUUUUUGAAUUUAACUUUUAAGUGAAAAGGCUUAAAUAUACUAAAGGGACGAUAAGACCCUAUAAAACUUUACAUUGUAAUUAUAUUUUAGUAAAUUUAUAAAUAAAGAUUAAAUUUGAUUAUUUGUUAGGCUGGGGAGGUACGAAUAAAUAUUAUUUUAACUGUUUGAUGAUUAUACAAUUAUUAGUGGGUAAGUAAAAGAUCCUUAUUUCAAGAUUAAUAGAUUAAGUUACUUUAGGGAUAACAGCGUAAUUUCUUUUGAGAGUUCUUAUCGAAAGAGAAGAUUGCGACCUCGAUGUUGAAUUAAAAUAUUCUAUAUAAUGAAGAGGUUAUAUAAGAAGGUCUGUUCGACCUUUAAAAUUUUACAUGAUUUGAGUUCAAACCGGUGUGAG
RNAcentral lists this ribosomal RNA (544 nucleotides) under Huananpotamon nanchengense. RNAcentral describes it as "partial 16S ribosomal RNA". It matches the Rfam family "Bacterial large subunit ribosomal RNA", at positions 1832 to 2625 of the family's 2925-position model. The record is from RNAcentral. Lineage: Eukaryota; Metazoa; Arthropoda; Malacostraca; Decapoda; Potamidae.